This 488-nucleotide ribosomal RNA is filed under the name uncultured bacterium. RNAcentral describes it as "partial 16S ribosomal RNA". It matches the Rfam family "Bacterial small subunit ribosomal RNA", at positions 28 to 507 of the family's 1533-position model. The record is from RNAcentral.
GACGAACGCUGGCGGCGUGCUUAACACAUGCAAGUCGAACGGAAAGGCACUGCUUUUGUGGGGUGCUCGAGUGGCGAACGGGUGAGUAACACGUGUGUAACCUGCCCUUGUCUUUGGGAUAACUUCAGGAAACUGGGGCUAAUACCGUAUAGGAGCCCCUGCUGCAUGGAGGGGGUUGGAACGUUUGGGCGGUUGGGGAUGGACUUGCGGCUUAUCAGUUUGUUGGUGGGGUAGAGGCUUACCCAGGAGUUGAAGGGUAGCUGGCCUGAGAGGGUGAACAGCCACACUGGAAGUGAGACACGGUCCAGACUCCUACGGGAGGCAGCAGUGGGGAAUAGUGGACAAUGGGCGCAAGACUGAUCCAGCCAGACGGAGUGGGUGAAGAAGGCCUUCGGGUUGUAAAGCCCUUUUGUUGGGAUAGAAAAGCCGCUGGUUUAUACCCAGCUGUUAUGACGGUAAACGAAGAAUAAGCCCCGGCUAAAUUCGUG